UAACACAAAAUGGCCACUGCUGCCGAAAAUGUCAAAAAGAGGCUUUGGUCACACAAAUUCAAUAACCUUUUAGAAGAUGAGGAAAAGGUCAUAAAGAAAUGUGAAACACACCCCAACACAGGAGCUGGUGAAAAAGACGCAUGGAACACACUAUGAAUAAGGAACACAUGGAACUCUCUACAUUGAUGAACUAAGUUAUAAAUAUGAAGGAUUCACAAAGGCAGCAUUAUUGAGAGAG
Non-coding RNA from Pelobates cultripes (western spadefoot toad), 238 nucleotides. The record is from the annotation of a GenBank genome assembly. Lineage: Eukaryota; Metazoa; Chordata; Amphibia; Anura; Pelobatidae.